Molecule: ribosomal RNA, 253 nt
Filed under: uncultured bacterium
Lineage: Bacteria
Description: partial 16S ribosomal RNA
Rfam family: Bacterial small subunit ribosomal RNA
Source: RNAcentral
UACGAAGGGGGCUAGCGUUGCUCGGAAUCACUGGGCGUAAAGGGUGCGUAGGCGGGUCUUUAAGUCAGGGGUGAAAUCCUGGAGCUCAACUCCAGAACUGCCUUCGAUACUGGCGAUCUCGAGUCCGGGAGAGGUGAGUGGAACUGCGAGUGUAGAGGUGAAAUUCGUAGAUAUUCGCAAGAACACCAGUGGCGAAGGCGGCUCACUGGCCCGGUACUGACGCUGAGGUGCGAAAGCGUGGGGAGCAAACAGG